RNAcentral lists this transfer RNA (73 nucleotides) under Candidatus Iainarchaeum sp. RNAcentral's name for it is "tRNA-Ala". It matches the Rfam family "tRNA". Rfam says of the family: Transfer RNA (tRNA) molecules are approximately 80 nucleotides in length. The record is from RNAcentral. Lineage: Archaea; Nanobdellati; Candidatus Iainarchaeota; Candidatus Iainarchaeia; Candidatus Iainarchaeales; Candidatus Iainarchaeaceae.
GGGCUUGUAGCUCAGUUGGUAGAGCGCCUCGUUUGCAACGAGGAGGUCACGGGUUCGAUCCCCGUCGAGUCCA